AAAGUCGUAACAAGGUUUCCGUAGGUGAACCUGCGGAAGGAUCAUUAGUGAAUUUAGCGUUUCUCUUAACAGAGCGCGACCCUCCACUUUCUUAACUCUGUGAACUUUUUUGGUCAAGCAUUGCGUUUUCUCGAUGAACUUUUAUUAGAAAGUCGGGACUACAAGUUUGCUUGACGGCUCAUUUUAAACACUAGUACAAGUAUGUAACGAAAUAUCGAAAUAUAAAAAAACUUUCAACAACGGAUCUCUUGGCUCUC
RNAcentral lists this unclassified non-coding RNA (257 nucleotides) under Basidiomycota sp. Its description in RNAcentral is "partial contains small subunit ribosomal RNA, internal transcribed spacer 1, and 5.8S ribosomal RNA". The stretch from base 1 to 47 matches the Rfam family "Eukaryotic small subunit ribosomal RNA", at positions 1785 to 1831 of the family's 1831-position model. Lineage: Eukaryota; Fungi; Basidiomycota. The record is from RNAcentral.